Molecule: long non-coding RNA, 1119 nt
Organism: Sapajus apella (tufted capuchin)
Lineage: Eukaryota; Metazoa; Chordata; Mammalia; Primates; Cebidae
Exons: 2
Source: RefSeq, a predicted model, not a curated record
GCUGUAGGGAUAUUUUAAAAGUUAAAUGAAGACAGUUCUUUCAUAGUAACAAAUACCUAGUUGCCUAGAAAAACCAUCAGUUUGGCUCAUGCCAGACAUGCAAUUUAGCAGCAAUCAGAAAACCUUCCAUGGAGAAGCCAAUAACUCAAACAUAGAUGUGAGGCAUUGUUCCUUUGGCUAACUUGAUCAAGGUAUAUGGGUUGUUCCAUUUGUAGAUUGUUGCCAUCCUUGUCUGCUAAACUCCUGACAAGAAUUACUUAUAAUGAGCACCUGUAAAAGGUAUGGGUUGGCAAGGAGAAGAAAUCAACUCAAAUGACUCAUUUCUAAGAAUGACUAGGAACUGUCACCCUAAAAAGUUGGAGGAAAAGAUUAAAAUGAGCUUUGCGGAAUCAUAUGCAGGUUGGCAGCAUCAUUUCCAAGAUCACUGGAUUUUCUUUUGUCCGUCUGCUAACCACCCACAGUCAAGUGACAAAGGAACAGGAGUCAAAUGAAAGGUUUUACUACUUGACAGAUCGAAACCAGCACCUUGCCGUGUUGUGAGAAAGCUUCCUAAGUCGAUUCAAGCCAUUACUCACAGAUACGCCAGGACUCAGAGAAGGGCAUGUUGGGUCAGUGACGUUACGGCCUUCUCCUUGGUAUUCCACCAGGACAUCUGAUCGCCAGGUCAAGUUACUGGCACCUCUCUAGAAAGAAGAGCAAACAGAGUUUGUGAGGCACAUAGACUAUGACAAAGAUCACAAAGUAAUUGACUGCUGAAGGGGACUUGGGAGUCAAAAGUAACUAGACUGUUCAUUCAGUAACUAAAGGGAAUGACUAAAACAGGUGCAUAUGAAAGCUACUGAAUUGUAUGUUUGGUACUUAAGGGCCUUUACAAAUGAUGGUCAAAUACUUUGAACAUUUAAUAGUUCCUUUCCAAGGGUACUUCUGUGAAUCAGGUCAGGAAUGGAACCUGACAAGGUUGCUAAGCAAGAAUCAAAGUCACAGGGCAAGUUGCUGAAAAGUCCAGACUAGAACACAUAAUACUGUCAUAUGCUCUAUUUAAGAACUGUUUUAUGCUCAUACUAAGGAAUGUAUAACCUAAUAGACACAAGGACAAUAAAGAAACAAAUAUUCAAUAGA